RNAcentral lists this transfer RNA (84 nucleotides) under Candidatus Uhrbacteria bacterium. Its description in RNAcentral is "tRNA-Leu". It matches the Rfam family "tRNA". From Rfam's summary of the family: Transfer RNA (tRNA) molecules are approximately 80 nucleotides in length. Their secondary structure includes four short double-helical elements and three loops (D, anti-codon, and T loops). Lineage: Bacteria; Candidatus Uhriibacteriota. The record is from RNAcentral.
GGGCGAGUGGCGGAGUUGGUAUACGCGGAAGACUUAAAAUCUUCUGGCCGAAAGGCCUCGAGGGUUCGAGUCCCUCCUCGCCCA